AUGAUUAAGAUAUAUUAAACUUUGCCACCUCCAUUAUUAUCAACACCACCGCCACCAUAUUUAUUCCUGGGAAUGGAAUGGUGGUCGCAGCAAUUAUCGUUGUCGUGAUUCUUAUUAAAAAUUUCCUGCUGGUUUUCGACAAGGUGGCGGCUGCUCCAUUUCUCAGCUUCAUCAACAACCGAAUCUUUCUUGUUCCCAGCAAAGGAGGAUCCAACCAUCAUCAGGACUAGAGCAACCACUACUACAGUCUUCAUUCUUCCACUCUUUUUUGCUUACUUCUCUUUGUUUAAUUACCAAAAAACAAAGAAAAUUAUUCAUACUUCAAGAAAACUAACUAUACAUAUUCAAGAACUACAACAAAGAAGAAAAAAAAGAGAGUGAGAGAGAGAGAUUAUAUAUAUAUAUAUAUAUAUAUAUAUAUAUAGCUUACCCUAAUACUGAGCCAAGGGUCUGUGUACAUGGAGGAGAGGAAGACAACUCUACUCUCUUUUUAUAGAGAACCAUAUGAGGGAUUUCUGUGAUUAAGGCGGUGUUUGUUUGGCAUGAAAUAUUUUUCAUAUUUUUAGCUUUUGGAAUGCCUAUAAAAAUUAAUUAUAUUAAAUGUUUUUUAAAAAUAAAAAUUAAAUUAUUUUAAAAAAUAAAAAAUUAUUUUAUACAUUUUAAAAAUUUUAUAACAUAUAAAUUUAUUAAUAUAUUUAUUUUUUAAAUUAAAAUAAGCAUAAUAAUUUUUAUUUUUUAAUUUAAAUUUACUGUUAAAUUAUCAUUAAAAAUCUAAAUAAAGUUAUUAUUUAUUAGGAUUUUAUAGUGUGAGUAACAUUAUUUUCGAUUUAGUUAGACUUAUUUAAUUUUUUAAUAAUAAUUUAGAAAAAUAAAACAUAUUUUACCGGCGGUAAAAAUUAGAGGUAAAUUUGACCUAAUUGCUCUGGAGAUGGGAUCUGAUGGGUAAUAAUGAAAUGGGUUGACCAUAUAAUAUAAUAUUAAAAAAUGAUAAAAUGAUGAAUUUAAUGAAAUUUUAGUCCAUAUUGGAGAGAAUUUAUGGACAAAAUGAUGCCAUUCAUUACUAAUUACAGCAAGUUUGAUUAGGGUUUUAGUGUUGGCACUGUAAAUAGGAUCUCUAAUUCUCCACCUAGUGCUAUAAUAAUUAUUGUAUUUUAAUAAUUUAAUUUUUAAAUCAUUGUUUACUUCUUAACUAAUACAUUUUUUUUCUUCUUAUAAAAAAAAUACAUUUUUUAGCUUUAUUUUUUUUAAUAAUCAUGGUUUAAUUUUAUUUCAGAAUAUUGUGAUUUUUUUUUGUCUUAAAUAUAUAUGUUAUCUUUAUAUUGAGAAGUACAUUCAUAAAAUUGAUAAGAAAAAAAAAAAUAGAUGCAACAUACAAAAACUGAUUUUAAAAUAUAUUUAAUUUUUUUAAUUUAGUUAUACUAGAUAAAAAAAUGCACAUCUUAUCAUUUAAUGUUCAUAUUACUUUAAAAAAAAAUAAAUGCUAUUAAAAUAUAGUUGAUGUGAAUGGUACUGCGAUCGGUUAAAUUUGAAAAAAACAGAAUGUGAAAUGAUUAGCGCCUACAAUAGUCAUUCCAAAUAUGGUGAAUAUAGAACUUAAAAAUAGUUGUGUAAGAAAAUUUCAUAUUUUUAUCUCUGUGUUCGUUAGCCUAUAUACUGUAAAAAGAUAGAGUUAAUAUAAUUUUUUUUAAAAUCCAGUAAUAAUGUGAUUGGCUAUUUAAUAAAAAAUUUUAUCAGUUAAUCGAUUGAUGAUUUCGCGAUUAGAGACGUAAUAUUAAUUUGUGUCUAUUAAUGGUAAUUUUAUAUCAAGAUUUAAAUUUUUUAGAAAGCGUGAAUUUUGAUAAAAAAAAUUAAGUGUAAUAGUAUCCGAAUUAUUUUUUUCAGAUAAAAUUACAUAUCAGUUUAUCAAAUUCUUAUCACGUUUUAUAUUUUUAGAUACACCUUUAUAAUUUACAUCAUCAUUGUUAAAAAAGUAUGCAUUUUCAAAAAUAAAAAAAAAAAACCAACAAUUUACUUAUUUAAUUAAAAGCUAGCAAUUAGAAUUCAUCUAUUUAAAUAAUACAUACAUUUUCUCCUAGAUUAAUCAUUAAUUAAAAUCUAGCUAUGAAAAUAAUCUACUUAAUUUUCCAACAUAUUUAAAAAUUAUGGGAAAUUAUUAGGAUGUAUUUAGAGAAUUUUUAUCCAUAUUAGGAAAAAUAUAAAAUAAAAAGUCAAAAUAUAAGUAAUAAGAUUAUAAUAUUAAAUUUACCAAAGUUAUUUUUAAAUAAAUUAAUUUGUUUUUCAGUUGAAAAAGUUUUUAAAAUUCAUGUAAAUAAACUAAAAUAAAUAGUGUAUUAUAAUUAAGUUUGUCCCAUUAUAUUACUUUUAAUUAUAUAAUUCUCAUUCUUGAAUAAUAAUUUCACAAAAAUUAAAUUUAAUUAAUUUUUUUAACAUUUUUUUAUUUGGAAUAAACGAAUACAAUUUUUUUUAAUUUAAAAAAACUUUACUUUAAAAAAUAAAAAAUAUUACAUGAUUUUAUAAAUUUGUUAAUAAAUUUUAUUUUUUAAAUUAAAAUUAAAUAAUAAAAAUAAAUUAUCUUAUUUUUUUAAAAUAACAAUUAUUAUGAGACAGAAAUAAUAAAAUUUUAUUUAUUUAUAUAUGUGGUGUGGUUACAUAAGACAUACAUAAACAGUGGCGGAGCCAGGAGUUUCCCUUUGGUAGAGCACCGGCUGCGCCGCUGUGACACAUUCAUCCCCUUCAAAGCAUUUUUCGAUCGCCGGUAUGGCACGUACCUUUCCUCCGUCCCGUGUACAUAGACUAAAGCUUGAAUUUUGAAGAACUUGAGGCUUACCUCAGCUAUGAAUAUUAGAACCAGCAAACCUUAUCAAUAUUCCAAGGAAGAAGAAGAAACUCAACCCUUUUAUUACAAAACAUUAUUUUACCGCUUAACUAUGAUUUAAGAUAUAUUAAACUUUGCCACCUUCAUUAUUAUCGCCGACACCACCACCACCAUAACCACCCCUAGGAAUAGAAUGGUGGUCACAGCAGUUAUCGUUGUCCUGAUGCUUAUUAACUUCUUGCUGGUUUCCGACAAGGUGGCGGCUGCUCCAUUUCUCAUCUUCACCAACAACUAAAUCUAAUUUCUUGUUCCCAGCAAAGCAGCAUCCAACCAUCAUCAGUGCUAGAGCAAUCACUACUACAACCUUCAUUCUUGCACUCUUUCUUUUUUUUACCAAAACUAAAGAAAAUUAUUCAUAAUUCAGACAACCACAUACAAGAAUUAUCCAAAAAAAAAAAGAUUAUAUAUGAUGAUUGUAGCUUACCUU
Molecule: long non-coding RNA, 3302 nt
Filed under: Manihot esculenta (cassava)
Lineage: Eukaryota; Viridiplantae; Streptophyta; Magnoliopsida; Malpighiales; Euphorbiaceae
Description: long non-coding RNA (MESC_LNC001994)
Source: RNAcentral